Molecule: long non-coding RNA, 1154 nt
Organism: Culex quinquefasciatus (southern house mosquito)
Lineage: Eukaryota; Metazoa; Arthropoda; Insecta; Diptera; Culicidae
Exons: 3
Source: RefSeq, a predicted model, not a curated record
GAAGCUCUUUCUUUCUGGUGGAGUACUUUGACCUGUGAACAAGUCAUUUUUAUAAAGUGGAGUGCAAAUUAAAAAAAACGAGAACUUUGUUGAGAGUGCGCUCUUUCUCAACUUUUUUUGAAUUGAUUUUGUCAAAUGACAAGUGAAAUUUGCUGCUGGAAUUAAGAAUAUUUUGGAAACUUGGUAUCAGGUGCCCUAGUUAACGUGGGCAAGUUGUCUGGGCUGGAAGCCAUUGUGAAGCCCAUCGAAAUUAGAGGUUAGGCACACCGCGUGCUCGGUCAGUGACGAAACUCGUCCGGAAUCGUUCGGAAUCGUCGCUAGCGUCAGGAUUCGUUUGGGAUCAUCCUGUUUCGCUGAGGGUUAAAGCCAGCAGCAAGCCAGGGUUGUGCUAUUUACCGGUUGCGGACGCAGCCAUUGUGAUCUAGUACUUCGGUACGCUAGUGGCGCACACGUCACUUCCAGUGGGUUGUCAGCGGCACCGCUUUACGUCAACACAAAGCCGUACCGCACCGACGAAGUCGGGACGCAAACCUCGUUUAAGCCAAGACGUGCGACACCGAGCCCGUUACACCGCUCGGAAAACUCCACCGACGCCCGGGGACGCCUUUACCCCGAUGAUCUGUCCACGCACGAGGGCCCAUUGACCACUGCCAGGAUUCUGGCCAUCCCAAAAACCCGUUACAAACCUUGAGCACAAACCCUAGGCCGCCCUCCGAGAAGUCUGCACGUGGAUGUAAGCAGCCCGCCGCAUGAGACACGUGCGUCAAGAGGUGCGUGAAACCGAUCGAGCCAACCGAACGAGACAACGAACGUGCGCAGCUACGUGGGAUCGCCGUGGGACAUCCGGUAGGACCGACGAACAACUAUAAGGUCAGAUCUAUCUUUUUGCAUUAUAUAAACGCCCCUGUUCCCCUGAAAAACACCAAGAUUAAUCCCUAGAGUAGCUUGCUAGCUUAAGUCGAUUCUUUGCGCGUCGCGCCAAACAGUCAGACCCCGCAGAGUCAGGUGUGACGUCACAAAAUCUAGGCCAGAUUGCAAUAAAGGGAAUUGCCUGUGUCCAAAUCUGAAUUGCGAACUCUUCUGAAUUGAAAUUUCGCCGAAUAAAAUACUCUUUGACAAAUUCAAUAAAUUUAAUUUGUUGUUCGCGUACGAAU